AGGACGAACGCUGGCGGCGUGCUUAACACAUGCAAGUCGAGCGGUAAGGCCUUUCGGGGUACACGAGCGGCGAACGGGUGAGUAACACGUGGGUGAUCUGCCCUGCACUCUGGGAUAAGCCUGGGAAACUGGGUCUAAUACCGGAUAUGACCUGCUCUCGCAUGGGGGUGGGUGGAAAGAUUUAUCGGUGCAGGAUGGGCCCGCGGCCUAUCAGCUUGUUGGUGGGGUAAUGGCCUACCAAGGCGACGACGGGUAGCCGACCUGAGAGGGUGACCGGCCACACUGGGACUGAGACACGGCCCAGACUCCGUACGGGAGGCAGCAGUGGGAAUAGUUGACACAAGUGGGACGAAAGCCUGAUGCAGCGACGCCGCGCGGAGGA
RNAcentral lists this ribosomal RNA (382 nucleotides) under uncultured soil bacterium. Its description in RNAcentral is "bacterial SSU rRNA". It matches the Rfam family "Bacterial small subunit ribosomal RNA", at positions 26 to 408 of the family's 1533-position model. The record is from RNAcentral.